This 761-nucleotide long non-coding RNA is filed under the name Bos taurus (domestic cattle). RNAcentral's name for it is "long non-coding RNA NONBTAT011259". Lineage: Eukaryota; Metazoa; Chordata; Mammalia; Artiodactyla; Bovidae. The record is from RNAcentral.
GUUGGCAUGAAUAAAACUAAUAAAACACAAGAGGCCAGUACUGUUGAUUGCCCCAAAGCAGACCUGGGUUUAAAGAACACAAAAUGAAAGAAUGUUUUCAAUAUGUGCUGUUUUGUGUCUUUUUAAUUUUGCAGUCUUAUAGUACCUUUUUAAAACAUAAAAUGUAAAUUAAAGAUUGUGCCUUAAAAAAAAAAAACUGAGAGUUAAGAUGCAUGUAUGUAUUCUUUUACAGUCGUGGUGAUUUAAAUGUAACUAUUUGCUGUAUAUACUCUUGUGUUCAUAGAGUUCAUAUUUGUUUUUAAAAGAUAAAAAGCAAAGUACAGUCUGAAACAAAGCACGUGUAUGGGCUGAAUGGGACUUCCUUUUGCCUGGCUGACCUAGAUCAUCCAUCCCCCACCUUCCACACUCUUCCUGUCUGCCCUCUGACCAGCUCAUUAGCAUCUACAGAAGAGAGGUCAGCCAAGAGAAGAAAGAGCAGGAAAGGACACAUCCCUGACCACCCAUAGAAAGUUACAUCAUCAAUUCUGAAGCCCAUCAGGUGUCUGAGGAGUAAGUUAAAGGUGUCUGAGGAGUAAGAGGUUGUGGACAACUCUUGAAUCUUAAUCUCUUUGUUCUCCAUGUUACCACAGAUAAUUCUGGGUUGAUUAGAUGUUAUAGAUAGGUUGAACUGUCAGUGCCAUCAGUGCUGUUGAAAUCAGCAGUCCUUCUUAAUCUUAAAGAUAAAAAAAAAAAAAAUUAGUAACUGAGAAGCAGCAGUGAUU